UUCAAGAAUUUUUUAAUAAAAAUGAAGUUUGUCUGUUAGUUUAUGUUUUGAUUGUUUCAAUUUCAAAAUUAUUCAGUGUUGUCCAUGUACUAGUUGUUAUAUAAAAAUUGUUGUCCUCUUUACGGUGUCUAGUAGCGACAUUUUAUCCUCCAACCAUUAUACAUAUUUAACUUACUAUUUUUUUUUUAGAUGGCAGUACAGCAGAUCAUUCAAUACACGCUGAGACAUGAAUUCACAUUUCUACCUCUAUGCUAAAUAUCAAUAUCCUACGUUGAAAAUGUACUUGACGAUACUGCUAAUAAUAAUGGUUUUGUGCAACGUGCGUGUAAUGGAUGGCAGUACAGCAGAUCACUCAAUACAUGCUGAGACAUGAAUUCACAUUUCUACCACUAUGCAAAAUAUCAACAUCCUACGUUGAAAAUGUACUAGACGAUACUGCUAAUAAUAAGGGUUUUGUGCAACAUGGCAGUACAGCAGAUCACUCAAUACAUGCUGAGACAUGAAUUCACAUUUCUACCACUAUGCAAAAUAUCAACAUCCUACGUUGAAAAUGUACUAGACGAUACUGCUAAUAAUAAGGGUUUUGUGCAACGUGCGUGUAAUGGAUGGCAGUACUGCAGAUCACCGGAGGCAUGCUGAGACAUGAAUUAGCAUUUCUAUCACUAGGGAAAGUUACAACAUUUUCCGUUGAAAAUGGAAUAGAAGAUGGCAGUAUAUCAGAUCAAUCAAGGCACGCUGAGACACGAAUUCACAUUUCUACCACCAAGGAAAGAAUCAACAUGCUAUGUUGAAAAUGGACUAGAAGAUACUGAUAAUAAUAUUGGAUUUAUGCAAUGUGCGUGCAAUGGUUAUUGAAUAUAAUUGAUUCUAAAUUAAUAGCUGUGAAACAUUUGAGAUUUGUUAAAUAUCUGAAUAAAAUAAUA
Rhopalosiphum padi (bird cherry-oat aphid) is the source of this 923-nucleotide long non-coding RNA. RefSeq lists it as uncharacterized. The record is from RefSeq and is a predicted model, not a curated record. The transcript has 5 exons. NCBI's taxonomy places the organism in Eukaryota, Metazoa, Arthropoda, Insecta, Hemiptera, Aphididae.